This 292-nucleotide ribosomal RNA is filed under the name uncultured bacterium. RNAcentral describes it as "partial 16S ribosomal RNA". It matches the Rfam family "Bacterial small subunit ribosomal RNA", at positions 337 to 646 of the family's 1533-position model. The record is from RNAcentral.
CCCUACGGGGGGCAGCAGUGGGGAAUAUUGCACAAUGGGGGAAACCCUGAUGCAGCGACGCCGCGUGAGUGAAGAAGUAUCUCGGUACGUAAAGCUCUAUCAGCAGGGAAGAAAAUGACGGUACCUGACUAAGAAGCCCCGGCUAACUACGUGCCAGCAGCCGCGGUAAUACGUAGGGGGCAAGCGUUAUCCGGAUUUACUGGGUGUAAAGGGAGCGUAGACGGCUGUGCAAGUCUGGAGUGAAAGGCAUGGGCUCAACCUGUGGACUGCUUUGGCAACUGUGCGGCUUGAG